CCAAACUGAAUUAUGCAUUUAUAAUCAAAAGUGAGAUCGAGCAUCCGGUGAUUGUGGCGGGGAAAGUGUGGAACAACUUCCCGAGCGGGUUCACACCUCGUUUAAACAUGAAUCAAAGAGUGGCUUUCUGGUGGAUUCGUUGGCGAAUCACAUUACAGGCUGAAUGGAGGUGCAUAUUUUAGAAGAAUGGCUCACUAAGGAUUGUGUGCUGCAUCAAUCACGAUCGAGUCAACGCAAACAACAGUGCGACAACAAUGCAGCUUUGCAACCAAGGAACAGAAAGGAAAUACCCAACAUACUGUAUGUAAGCUAUGUUUGGUUUGUCUCGAUGUAGUUGAGUUUAUUGAGUGUCAGAUAAGGGGGGUGGAGUUGAGGGAAACCAAAGGGUUGGUGAUAAUUCAUGGUGUAAUUGCUAUAUGUUGUCAUUUUGCCCGGCACACAUGAUAAUAAUAUUUCUCCCUAAAAUAAGGUUUGAACGUUUUGUUUUUACAGAACUAAACUACAUCAUCAAGUGAAUACACCGUUUGUGACAAUUUUAACUGUUUUUACAAAGGUGUUCAAAUGGCUAAAUGUGACGGACUUGUGCAUCUAUAAUCUGUGAGUGUAAUAAUAUUUUUGUUAAAAUUUUACUCAAAACUAUUACAAACUAUCGCACAAUCUCCUUUAACAUCCCAUUGAGCUACUGUUUGUCCAUAAAUGACGGCUCUGAUGGGUCAGCCCGGAUCAUUUUGUUGGUUCAUGUUAUUUACAGGUGGUGCGAUGUUUCCUUUAUUGUAAUUAAAGUGAGAACUCCUCCGGUUAUGUGAAAGAAAAGAACCUCAAGCUUUUGCCAUCAUUCAAGAAUCUCCACUAAAGCAGCCAAAGGAAUAUAAAUACGGAGUCUUGUUCCUCCAGCUAGGAUGUUCAUCAGCAUGACUCAGUCGAAGGAGACGAAGGAGGCUUCUCUUUAACUCGGCAGUCAGAGGGAAUCAAUGCAGUGGACGGAGCCCAGUGGGUCACUCCCUCGCUGCUCCUUUGCAACCUUUGGUUUAUUUUUAACCGAUGUCAUGAAUGUUGGAAGAUGCCUAAAGGCAAGACACCUGCCUCACUUUUUGACGUUGUCAUUUCAGCACGCUCCAAAGGUGACCCGCCACCACAACUGGCCCCUCCAAUCUACAGCAGAACCUGGCAUAGCAGGAGAGUUAUGCAACUUGGGCUCCACCACCACCAUCACGUGUCUGGACUCCCAAGGGGGGGAUAUGCCUCGUCUCGGCUCGAGAUCCCGGCCCCGGGUCUAUCCUGCGGCAGGAUGGAGUCCAAGCCCCAAACAACUUGCAAUAUCAUAUUAUGCCUGUUAUA
Long non-coding RNA from Gasterosteus aculeatus aculeatus (three-spined stickleback), 1338 nucleotides. NCBI's taxonomy places the organism in Eukaryota, Metazoa, Chordata, Actinopteri, Perciformes, Gasterosteidae. The record is from Ensembl.